RNAcentral lists this ribosomal RNA (445 nucleotides) under uncultured soil bacterium. Its description in RNAcentral is "bacterial SSU rRNA". It matches the Rfam family "Bacterial small subunit ribosomal RNA", at positions 26 to 518 of the family's 1533-position model. The record is from RNAcentral.
AGAACGAACGCUGGCGGCAUGCCUAACACAUGCAAGUCGAACGAGACCUUCGGGUCUAGUGGCGCACGGGUGCGUAACGCGUGGGAAUCUGCCCUUGGGUUCGGAAUAACAGUUAGAAAUGACUGCUAAUACCGGAUGAUGACGAAAGUCCAAAGAUUUAUCGCCCAGGGAUGAGCCCGCGUAGGAUUAGCUAGUUGGUGAGGUAAAGGCUCACCAGGGCGACGAUCCUUGGCUGGUCUGAGAGGAUGAUCAGCCACACUGGGACUGAGACACGGCCCAGACUCCUACGGGAGGCAGCAGUGGGGAAUAUUGGACAAUGGGCGAAAGCCUGAUCCAGCAAUGCCGCGUGAGUGAUGAAGGCCUUAGGGUUGUAAAGCUCUUUUACCCGGGAUGAUAAUGACAGUACCGGAGAAUAAGCUCCGGCUAACUCCGCGCCAGCAGCCGC